UCCGGUGUGGUCUAGUGGCUAGGAUACCUGGCUCUCACCCAGGAGGCCAGCGUUCGAUUCCCGGUACCGGAA
This is a non-coding RNA of Schistocerca cancellata (South American locust), 72 nucleotides long. The record is from the annotation of a RefSeq genome assembly. Lineage: Eukaryota; Metazoa; Arthropoda; Insecta; Orthoptera; Acrididae.